AUUACCGCGGCUGCUGGCACAGAGUUAGCCGUCCCUUCCUCUCCGCAUACCAUCAACUACGCUUGCUAUUAACAUGCGUAGCCUUGUUCUGCANUGACAGGAGUUUACAAUCCAAGAACCUUCAUCCUCCACGCGGCGUCGCUCCAUCAGACUUUCGUCCAUUGUGAAAAAUUCUCGACUGCUGCCUCCCGUAGG
This 195-nucleotide ribosomal RNA is filed under the name uncultured bacterium WkA31. Its description in RNAcentral is "partial 16S ribosomal RNA". The record is from RNAcentral.